UACGGAGGGUGCGAGCGUUGUCCGGAAUCACUGGGCGUAAAGGGCGCGUAGGUGGCGCGGGCAGUCAACGGUGAAAGUUCGGGGCUCAACCCUGAAUCGGCCGUCGAUACUCCCGGGCUGGAGCACUGUAGAGGCAGAUGGAAUUCCGGGUGUAGCGGUGGAAUGCGUAGAGAUCCGGAAGAACACCGGUGGCGAAGGCGGUCUGCUGGGCAGUAGCUGACACUGAGGCGCGACAGCGUGGGGAGCAAACAGG
Molecule: ribosomal RNA, 253 nt
Filed under: uncultured bacterium
Lineage: Bacteria
Description: partial 16S ribosomal RNA
Rfam family: Bacterial small subunit ribosomal RNA
Source: RNAcentral